AGUUGCUACUUUAAGUUUCAUGCAACAAGCAAUCAUCAGGCAACAUAUUAAUACGGUUAAGUUGUUCCAACUUAACCGUAUUAAUAUGUUGCCUGAUGAUUGCUUGUUGCAUGAAACUUAAAGUAGCAACU
Molecule: non-coding RNA, 131 nt
Organism: Paramuricea clavata
Lineage: Eukaryota; Metazoa; Cnidaria; Anthozoa; Malacalcyonacea; Plexauridae
Source: the annotation of a GenBank genome assembly